Molecule: long non-coding RNA, 1431 nt
Filed under: Drosophila guanche
Lineage: Eukaryota; Metazoa; Arthropoda; Insecta; Diptera; Drosophilidae
Source: RNAcentral
AUUGUAAAAGCAGAAUAGAAAAACUGUCAGAUAACUUCUUUACGAUGUUUUGAUGCUACUCGGAUGUGUAGUAGGCAUGUACGUACGUAAUAAACUCAAGCACAAUCAUUUUCAAAUUGAAUUCAAACAAACAACUAAUCUAACAAUCUUUUCUUGACCAACUGGAGACCCUUUCACAACCCACGUUGAUGGAUGGGUUAUUCGGUCAAUGUCGCCUGGCGCCCGAAAUCAAAGAAAACAUUAAAAUAGAGUGUAAACCGAUAAUACGCGAUGCGUGAGUAACAUAAUAAAUGAAGAAAUGGAAUGGUUCAAGUCGAGCUAUUGAACUUUUGCCAGGGAAUGCACGUGACCAGGGCCGGAUUGCGGUUAGUUUGUGGAAAGUUGUGGCUUUGGCCAAUUCAAAUGUUUGCUUUAAUGACAUUGCCAAUACUUAAAGAGGUGUAAAUAAGUCGAAAGACUGGGUUAUUGCAUCACUUUGCAGACCCCUUUGGGCACUGACAGGAGACUGUCGCUGGCUGUGGACUGGAAUCUGGGAAUGCGCGCCUGCAGGUGUGAAAAUAAGCGCCAAUAAAACAUGAAUCAACACGAAAAUAAACAAAAUCAAAGCAGGAAUGAAAAUUAAUUGAAUACUGGAAUCAAACUCGUUCGUUUAGCGCCUGAACUGGCAAUGUGUAAUACUGGCAAUGCCAAAUUGCGAAUCCGUACAGUUUUGGGGGCCCGUACAGCUGUUGAAUGUCUGCCUGUACAAUUAGAGAUAACGCAAUCCACAGAUGCCGCUCCAACCCAGGGGAGGGGGGAACGGGUGCUGUUGCCACAUUUCCGCACGCGACUAAAAUGGAGAGGGAAACAGAGAGAAGAGCAAGAGCUGCGGCCACAACAUGCAAAAAUUUAAAUAAGUCAUAUAAUCAUAUAAGCGGUGACCUUUGCUCGACAAGGGACACACAAAAAUACCUGGAAACCUGGAUCCAUUCUUCAAGGAAAGCACUUCCAGUCUUUCCAGUCAAACAAUCCUGGCAUCCACUCCUACUCAAACGUUGUGGGGAGUCCUUUACCGCUCUCUCCCACACCACUUCCCCAGCCAAAUCACGCAACCAACUCUGGGGUGGGGUGGAAGGGGAAGAGAUCAACGGCAAUUAAGGCGACUGCGUAACAAAAAGAAAAACUUGCAACCAAGGUGCACGCGACAACCCGAACCGCACUGGCCAGCGACCAGAGGCACUGGAGCACAAAAACCAAAAACCAAAGAAAAUGAAAUGAAAUGUCCGGACAACCGGACAACCGGACAACACCCAUGACAAUGAAGCGGCAACAUUCAGCCGAAGAGUCGCGUCUGCGUAAUACCAGAAGUAGUCAACAGGUGAACAACUUCCAAGGGGAGAGCGGACCAGAGACGAGUGUGGCGGAGCUGCAGCUUGCCCCGAAGCAGGCCAG